CCUACGGGAGGCAGCAGUAGGGAAUCUUCCACAAUGGGCGAAAGCCUGAUGGAGCAACGCCGCGUGGGUGAAGAAGGUCUUCGGAUCGUAAAACCCUGUUGUUAGUGACGAAAGUGAGUGAGAGUAACUGUUCACGUUUCGACGGUAUCUAACCAGCAGGCCCCGGCUAACUACGUGCCAGAAGCCGCGGUAAUACGUAGGUGGCAAGCGUUAUCCGGAUUUAUUGGGCGUAAAGGGAACGCAGGCGGUCUUUUAAGUCUGAGGUGAAAGCCUUCGGCUUAACCGGAGUAUUGCAUUGGAAACUGUGAGACUUGAGUGCAGAAGAGGAGAGUGGAACACCAUGUGUAGCGGUGAAAUGCGUAGAUAUAUGGAAGAACACCAGUGGCGAAAGCGGCUCUCUGGUCGGUAACUGACGCUGAGGUUCGAAAGCGUGGGUAGCAAACAGGAUUAGAUACCCUUGUAGUC
RNAcentral lists this ribosomal RNA (465 nucleotides) under uncultured bacterium. Its description in RNAcentral is "partial 16S ribosomal RNA". It matches the Rfam family "Bacterial small subunit ribosomal RNA", at positions 338 to 795 of the family's 1533-position model. The record is from RNAcentral.